UACGUAGGGUGCGAGCGUUGUCCGGAAUUAUUGGGCGUAAAGGGCUUGUAGGCGGUUUGUCGCGUCUGCCGUGAAAAUCCGGGGCUCAACCCCGGACUUGCGAUGGGUACGGGCAGACUAGAGUGUGGUAGGGGAGACUGGAAUUCCUGGUGUAGCGGUGAAAUGCGCAGAUAUCAGGAGGAACACCGAUGGCGAAGGCAGGUCUCUGGGCCACUACUGACGCUGAGAAGCGAAAGCGUGGGGAGCGAACAGG
This 253-nucleotide ribosomal RNA is filed under the name uncultured bacterium. RNAcentral's name for it is "partial 16S ribosomal RNA". It matches the Rfam family "Bacterial small subunit ribosomal RNA", at positions 524 to 776 of the family's 1533-position model. The record is from RNAcentral.